UUCCACUUUCCUUCCUUCGCUUACCCGCGUUAUGCAGCCAUGUCUGGUGGCGAGGAACUGCACAAAGAGGUAGACGGAGCAGAGAGAGAGGCAUUAAGAAAGACUAAAAACAAUAAUGUGCCUAUGCAUGUGACCCUAGAAAAAGGCAGCGGUGACGAGAGAGCAAAGGCAGCAAGGGCAAGUUGGGAAAGUAGCAAGAUGCUUCUUGGCUCUUGGGUCAAGAGAGCGGUGGAGAAGACUCGGGUGGAAAGACUGACACACUUCUGCCGAGGCCUACCUGGCUGGGCCUCUCUCACAAAAGUUCUCCAUGAUGUUCGAGUGAUUUUAACACCCCCGGGAGAGCCACUUUAAAAGUCCACACUCCGAUACAAGAAACACCAGUGGUGGAAACGACUUUUACUCACAUACUUCUACAGUCAGACAAACCUCCCACCUCGCCAGCAGUGAUGAUGACACGUCCAUCUCCAUCCUGUAGAUGGCAGCAGUGUAAAGAAAACCCCCUUCUCUCUCUCCGCUGAUGCCUCCCAUCCCCAUCAACUUAAUGGUGCAGUAGCAGAGCCCAUUCCAGGCAGCCAUUAAUAACUUGAGAAAAGUCCUCUCUCUGCCUCGUCCUCGUGUCUCACUUGACAUGGUUGGCCUCAUUUGAACUUUUGACCCGCCUGUAAUUUGCAAUGUAAGCUCUCCAAUUUACAAUACCUUCACAACGGAGCGUGUUAACGAUUAUUCAUCACUGCAGUGCAGGCUUCAGAGAGAGUGUUAGUGUGUGCAUGAUAUAGAGAGAGACUACCAGCUUAUAAAGGGACAUCAAUGUCAAAACGAGUAUACACAUGUGCACAUAACACCUUUCAGCACACACAGAGGCACACUAGACUUUUAUUCUUGCGAUAAUCUCCAACUUGAAACCUUCCAAAAGCGAGAGCAGCACUUUAAAAAAGACAGAAAAGCACAGUCACACACACAGUUGACUGCAUCUGAGCUACAGAGACAUUAGUGCUGCAGGCUCUGAUAUGACUGAUAAUAAUGUUUAAAGCCUGGUGUCACUUCAGUGAAUCAACAAACAUAUGAACUCUUGCCCUGCAGUUCCUUUCUCACUAAAGAGAAAAAAAAAAAACUAGAAACACGAUGCAUCACCCUCACCCUAAAACUGAUCUGAU
Sebastes umbrosus (honeycomb rockfish) is the source of this 1154-nucleotide long non-coding RNA. RefSeq lists it as uncharacterized. The record is from RefSeq and is a predicted model, not a curated record. The transcript has 4 exons. Lineage: Eukaryota; Metazoa; Chordata; Actinopteri; Perciformes; Sebastidae.